RNAcentral lists this microRNA precursor (109 nucleotides) under Asparagus officinalis (garden asparagus). RNAcentral's name for it is "miR399a stem-loop (aof-MIR399a)". Its record names the gene aof-MIR399a. Lineage: Eukaryota; Viridiplantae; Streptophyta; Magnoliopsida; Asparagales; Asparagaceae. The record is from miRBase by way of RNAcentral.
CAAGUCAGUCUCGGGGUUUCUCUCCUUUGGCAGAGGCAACAUGUUGUGAGAGAAGAAGUCCAUGCAUGCUGUUAUUUCUGCCAAAGGAGAGUUGCCCUGUGACUGCCUU